GUUAUUUAUUAUUUGUGUUAUUUUCUCGUUUAUUAAUUGUAUCUUUAUAAAAGAAUACAAAAUCAUAUUAAAUUCAAGCAUGAUUUACACGGACGUAGCCGGAGUCUAGACAAAACAGUCAAUGAAAUCAAAGCAUACAACUUCGUGAAGUGUAGAAAGGUCAACCGCUACGCAGCGUAGUUGCGUACUGCGUACACUGUAACGAGAAUUACUGUUCGUGUUCUCGUUAUCUUGCUAGAGAACACCGAAGUAGUUGGCUUUUGAAUACUUGGCUUUGUAACGGAUUAAGAUGGGCAGACAAUUCAAUUGCGAAAGCAAUUUCUUUAACUGAAAUCACACGAACAUGAUUAACGGAGACCGUCGGGCUUCUGUUUCCGGGAGCCAUACCGUCGAUCCAAUCUGAGGAAUUACAGAAAUAUUCUCGUUCACUUUGUCCCAGAUCGUGGCAGAAGAAGGAUCGUGGUGUAGUGUUUUUUCCGUGGUGUGAUUUUGCCUUGUAAAAGUUAGCUAGUUUUGUGCGGUUGUGAAUUGUGCGAGUUGAACUGGAGUUCAAAGCCAAGCGCGCGCUACGGCUUCUAUUUCCAAAAAUAGCGUACACCGCACAAAGCAGAAAGCGAAAACAGCGUCUCGCUGCCCCACCAUACGUCACGCAUCCACCUGCGAUUUGGUGCCGAAGUUUGCCUGGCGGUUUAGGGCCAGAAGGGAGUAGCGACCGUCACCAACGCACUCCAGGCACGUUUUCAUCGGCCAUCCAACGUCUUCGUGAAGUCACGGGCUCGAGAAGGACCUCCUAGAACCUCGUGCGUGACUGUGAAGUCGCGAGUAGCGGUACAAGAAACAUCCCGCUCGCUCGCUCGUCGUUUCGUCUACGUCAUCGACAACGUCAUCGUAGAAAGCUACGAAGCGUAAGCUUCGCAAACCGUGAGUACGUUACCGAAACCUUGCAUGCAAGCGUAAUUAGCACGGACACUCGAAAGCGCUAGAUAGAUCUGAACCGCACAGGUUAGGGCCAGAAGCAAAAGGGGGAAAGAAGAAGAAAGGCCGGCCGUCCGGACGAGUAAGAAUGCGUAGGUUAUCAAAUUGUUAGUAAAUAAAUUCGAAAGUUUCACGUUUUUGUUUUCGUAAGACAAUGUGUUAGUCAGUGAUGUUUAAGAAAGUUUGAAGUACCUUUCACGUUUCGUUAGUUCUAGUUAGCGUCCUUUUGUUGUGUAUUCCGUCUUCCAAAACGGAAUGGGAUUAAAGUGGAUGGGGAAUCUCUGCCCGUGAUGAUAACCUGGAUAAGAUCGAGUUCUUUGAGUACGGUUGUCUUCCGGGAUUCGUUGGUUAUGUUCGUGUGAGGAAAGUUAUUGAGGUGUAAGAUUCUUUCGGGCAAAUUGGAUAGAUGGGUCUGCUUACUUCUUCCUGCGCACUGUUAAGUAUUUGGAAGCUGACCUCUUCGGUCAGUAUCUAGCCGGGCGUAGAACACGACUAGUGGUCCUCCUAGGA
Molecule: long non-coding RNA, 1485 nt
Organism: Aedes albopictus (Asian tiger mosquito)
Lineage: Eukaryota; Metazoa; Arthropoda; Insecta; Diptera; Culicidae
Exons: 4
Source: RefSeq, a predicted model, not a curated record